GUGCAGCAGUCGAGAAAACUUCACACUGUGCGAAAGCACGAUGAGGGAAUCCCAAGUGCUUGCACGUAAGUGUAAGCUGUUUCUCUGUCUAAAACGCAGAGAGAGUAAGGGCUGGGUAAGACGGGUGCCAGCCGCCGCGGUAAUACCUGCAGCUCAAGUGGUGACCGUUAUUAUUGGGCCUAAAACGUCCGUAGCCGGUUUAAUAAAUGCCUGGGUAAAUUGUGUAGCUUAACUAUACGAAUUCCGGGUAGACUGUUAAACUUGAGACCGGGAGAAGUUAGAGGUACUCCUGGGGUAGAGGUGAAAUUCUGUAAUCCUAGGGGGACCACCAGUGGCGAAGGCGUCUAACUAGAACGGGUCUGACGGUGAGGGACGAAGCCCUGGGGCGC
RNAcentral lists this ribosomal RNA (389 nucleotides) under uncultured microorganism. RNAcentral's name for it is "bacterial SSU rRNA". It matches the Rfam family "Archaeal small subunit ribosomal RNA", at positions 330 to 720 of the family's 1478-position model. The record is from RNAcentral.